GACGAACGCUGGCGGCGUGCUUAACACAUGCAAGUCGAACGGAAAGGCCCUGCUUUUGUGGGGUGCUCGAGUGGCGAACGGGUGAGUAACACGUGAGUAACCUGCCCUUGACUUUGGGAUAACUUCAGGAAACUGGGGCUAAUACCGGAUAGGAGCUCCUGCUGCAUGGUGGGGGUUGGAAAGUUUCGGCGGUUGGGGAUGGACUCGCGGCUUAUCAGCUUGUUGGUGGGGUAGUGGCUUACCAAGGCUUUGACGGGUAGCCGGCCUGAGAGGGUGACCGGCCACAGUGGGACUGGGGUACGGCCCAGACUCCUACGGGAGGCAUCAGUGGGGAAUAUUGCGCAAUGGGCGGAAGCCUGAUGCAGCAACGCCGCGUGCGGGAUGACGGCCUUCGGGUUGUAAACCGUUUUCGCCUGUGACGAAGCGUGAGUGACGGUAAUGGGUAAAGAAGCACCGGCUAACUACGUG
This 468-nucleotide ribosomal RNA is filed under the name uncultured bacterium. RNAcentral's name for it is "partial 16S ribosomal RNA". It matches the Rfam family "Bacterial small subunit ribosomal RNA", at positions 28 to 507 of the family's 1533-position model. The record is from RNAcentral.